RNAcentral lists this ribosomal RNA (465 nucleotides) under Vreelandella stevensii. RNAcentral describes it as "partial 16S ribosomal RNA". It matches the Rfam family "Bacterial small subunit ribosomal RNA", at positions 338 to 795 of the family's 1533-position model. Lineage: Bacteria; Pseudomonadati; Pseudomonadota; Gammaproteobacteria; Oceanospirillales; Halomonadaceae. The record is from RNAcentral.
CCUACGGGGGGCAGCAGUGGGGAAUAUUGGACAAUGGGGGCAACCCUGAUCCAGCCAUGCCGCGUGUGUGAAGAAGGCCCUCGGGUUGUAAAGCACUUUCAGUGAGGAAGAACGCCUGGUGGUUAAUACCCAUCAGGAAAGACAUCACUCACAGAAGAAGCACCGGCUAACUCCGUGCCAGCAGCCGCGGUAAUACGGAGGGUGCGAGCGUUAAUCGGAAUUACUGGGCGUAAAGCGCGCGUAGGUGGCUUGAUAAGCCGGUUGUGAAAGCCCCGGGCUUAACCUGGGAACGGCAUCCGGAACUGUCAAGCUAGAGUGCAGGAGAGGAAGGUAGAAUUCCCGGUGUAGCGGUGAAAUGCGUAGAGAUCGGGAAGAAUACCAGUGGCGAAGGCGGCCUUCUGGACGGACACUGACACUGAGGUGCGAAAGCGUGGGUAGCAAACAGGAUUAGAUACCCCUGUAGUC